GGGACACGUGGUAUCCUGUCUGAAUAUGGGGGGACCAUCCUCCAAGGCUAAAUACUCCUGACUGACCGAUAGUGAACCAGUACCGUGAGGGAAAGGCGAAAAGAACCCCGGCGAGGGGAGUGAAAAAGAACCUGAAACCGUGUACGUACAAGCAGUGGGAGCACCUUCGGGUGUGACUGCGUACCUUUUGUAUAAUGGGUCAGCGACUUAUAUUCUGUAGCAAGGUUAACCGUAUAGGGGAGCCGCAGGGAAACCGAGUCUUAACUGGGCGUUAAGUUGCAGGGUAUAGACCCGAAACCCGGUGAUCUAGCCAUGGGCAGGUUGAAGGUUGGGUAACACUAACUGGAGGACCGAACCGACUAAUGUUGAAAAAUUAGCGGAUGACUUGUGGCUGGGGGUGAAAGGCCAAUCAAACCGGGAGAUAGCUGGUUCUCCCCGAAAGCUAUUUAGGUAGCGCCUCGUGAACUCAUCUUCGGGGGUAGAGCACUGUUUCGGCUAGGGGGUCAUCCCGACUUACCAACCC
This 523-nucleotide ribosomal RNA is filed under the name Klebsiella pneumoniae. Its description in RNAcentral is "partial 23S ribosomal RNA". It matches the Rfam family "Bacterial large subunit ribosomal RNA", at positions 419 to 945 of the family's 2925-position model. The record is from RNAcentral. Lineage: Bacteria; Pseudomonadati; Pseudomonadota; Gammaproteobacteria; Enterobacterales; Enterobacteriaceae.